This 216-nucleotide long non-coding RNA is filed under the name Lathyrus oleraceus (garden pea). RNAcentral describes it as "Pisum sativum (pea) long non-coding RNA (PSAT_LNC042304)". Lineage: Eukaryota; Viridiplantae; Streptophyta; Magnoliopsida; Fabales; Fabaceae. The record is from RNAcentral.
AAAAUUCAGAAUUUUUAAAAACUUGAAAGUAUUUUUAAACAAUUAAAAAUAAACAUAAAAUCAAUUAAAUCAUGAAAAUAUUAAUAAUGAUCCAAAAAAUAAUUUUAAUUCAGAAUCUGAAAGAGGAAUUUAUUUAAAUUUUUGUGGUGAAACUCUCAUGUUUUUUGGAUCAAUAUUAAAAUUAAUAUGAAUUAAUGAAAAUCAAAUGAAUUAAAA